RNAcentral lists this ribosomal RNA (253 nucleotides) under uncultured bacterium. RNAcentral describes it as "partial 16S ribosomal RNA". It matches the Rfam family "Bacterial small subunit ribosomal RNA", at positions 524 to 776 of the family's 1533-position model. The record is from RNAcentral.
UACAUAGGUCUCAAGCGUUGUUCGGAUUCAUUGGGCGUAAAGGGUGUGUAGGUGGCGCCGUAAGUCGGGUGUGAAAUUUCGGAGCUUAACUCCGAAACUGCAUUCGAUACUGCGGUGCUUGAGGACUGGAGAGGAGACUGGAAUUCAUGGUGUAGCAGUGAAAUGCGUAGAGAUCAUGAGGAAGACCAGUGGCGAAGGCGGGUCUCUGGACAGUACCUGACACUGAGACACGAAGGCCAGGGGAGCAAACGGG